GAUGAACGCUGACAGAAUGCUUAACACAUGCAAGUCUUUGGCGAAGCUGUGCUUGCACAGCCUAGCCAAGGCGGACGGGUGAGUAACGCGUAAGGAACUUGCCCUGCAGUCAGGGAUAACAGACGGAAACGACUGAUAAGACCUGGUAAAGUCAGGCGGACUCAUGUCCAGCCUGAUGAAAAGAGAUGCUGCAGGAGAGCCUUGCGUCCUAUUAGCUUGUUGGUGGGGUAACGGCCCACCAAGGCGAUGAUAGGUAGCCGGCCUGAGAGGGUGGACGGCCACAAGGGGACUGAGAUACGGCCCUUACUCCUACGGGAGGCAGCAGUGGGGAAUAUUGGACAAUGGGGGCAACCCUGAUCCAGCAAUUCUGUGUGCACGAUGAAGGUUUUCGGAUUGUAAAGUGCUUUCAGCAUGGAAGAAAAAAAUGACGGUACCUGCAGAAGAAGCGACGGCUAAAUACGUG
Molecule: ribosomal RNA, 463 nt
Filed under: uncultured bacterium
Lineage: Bacteria
Description: partial 16S ribosomal RNA
Rfam family: Bacterial small subunit ribosomal RNA
Source: RNAcentral